UAUGCGGCUUCAUUGAAAGAAUUAGAGGAAAUCUUAACUGAUAUCCUUUUAACUUUUGAUAUCUUUUAAUCCUAAUUUGCAUUUUUUUAUUAAAUUAACAUCACAUUAUCAAGAUACAAUAUGAGUGACUCUUUAAGAAUAUAAAUAAAACUGUGUUACACGAGAAGCUUAUAUUUUCUGCUUACAUUUUCUAAAAGUGUCUACGCGUAACCGCGUCGCGAAGAUCGAGUUGCAACGAUACCGCGUUACAUACAACAAGCUCUCUACCUCGAAUAGACCAUACGAUACUAACGAAGUGUCUCACAGGCCGAGGAUGAAAGCGAGACGGGCAGAGUCGAAAGACGCAAAAGACCUCGACGAUGAGCGUUCCCCUUCGACGAACCGAGAACAUGAACUCUUCCGUAAACGUCAGGUAAAAAGGAAAAGGAGCAUCUGCUUUGUACUCAAGCCGCGGAAACCAAUCCUAUCUUUUACGUAAGGUCCGACCAUCUAUCUCGACAAAAAGAAGAACUCGAAGAAGAAUCAUAAACGGAGAUACCGUUCUUCGUUUAACUGCUUAAAGUGCAAGGUGAAGGAUACACUCCGUUGAAUACUUCGUCGAUUGGAUCUACCGCAUUUGAUAGCAUUUAUGUCUGAUUGCAGUGUGUCUCGGAAAACUAGUUUCUUGGGAAAUCGACGGCGAACCGAUAUGUAGUUCUUCGUCGUCGUCUUGGCGAGCGUCUCGCGACUGGCUCAAUGUAGCAAUUAUUGGUGUUUACGGCCUCGACGGAGGAACUAGCUUAAUUGAAGAAUUAGUUUAGGAACGGGAACGCUUGACUCACGCUCGCGCUCCCGGGAGGAGCUCGAGAAACACGUUCAGGAUCGUGUCUCGUGUGUAAUCGGGAGCUUUACGCGCUCGAGGAACAUCGGAAAUAUCAAGACGCCGAGAGUAACGACGAUGAAUCUCUUAGCGAAAAGAAAGCGAUAGCCGAUCGCUGAGGGCGCCAAUGAGAAGGAACGAAAGAGGGUUAGAUAGUGACGCAAAACAUAACAUGGGAAAAAACGCGCUGACCCGUUAUAUUCGUGUUGUCCAGAAAAUGCCGACGCAUCUCCAAUAGACGCGCAACGUAUAUUGAGGGGUUGGAAAGCGCAGAAAUACGCAGGAAAUCUGAAAGAUAUAGAGGUUUCUCUAUUUGCCGAAGAGAAACUCGAAAUGAGAGAACUUCUCCGGAAUAAUUACGGGUGUCUGUUAAAAAAUCGAACCCCUCCACUCACUGCACCGUCCUGUGAAUUGAUUAAGAAGACUAAUCUCAACCUUAAUUCUGGCUCCCCCGAGCAAAUGAUUGAGAAGACAAGGUCGAAGAUGGACACAAAAACCACCUUUUUUUUCUCGCUAACAUAAGUAUACAAUUUAUCAUUUUUAUUAAUCUAAAUAUGAAUUAAUCCCUUCUCAUUUAUUUUUUUCUGCGAAGAAGAUGUGUCAAUCAUUGAGACUAGAUUAUUAAUAAAAUAUUUAAUGGCGUAAUAUCAUCUUGUAGUCCAAUGUGGAGGUAAUUUAUAAAAACAGAAAAAAAAAUUAUGGAUUCUUUAAAAACAUUCAGACGGAACAGCUAAAUAUAAUUCUGUCUUAUAAAUUAUCCCCAUCAAUUCUUUCUUUAAGACUCUACAGAUUACGAAAACUUGCCAUUACGCGCAAUAUCGGUAAUGUUAAAACAAAAAUGCGAGAUUUAACGUUAAUCCACCACUCGAAAUUGUCUCGGACGGUUUAUCUCGGAAGGUUCAACGGUCGAUGCGCAUAAGACGCGCGCGCGUCCGAUGAUUGCUUCGUUAAACGCUCAAAGGCAGAUGCGCAAAUUUUCGAGGCGACGUAUUUAUACGCGCCUUCGGCGUCAGGGACCCGGGAUUAGAUCGCGACGGAGAAGAGACUUAUUACGAGACGAGGCGAUUACGCAAGCGAACGCAACUCGCCCCGGCGCCGAGAGAAACGAAGAGAGAGAGAGAGAGAUCCGGAUGAAAAUGAGGGGAGCCUAAAUAGCGGGCGUUCCAUCGCGCUAUUAAUUACGUAUCGAAUUACGUCAGUUUCCCAAGGCGACCGCUCGCGCAAAUAACGGAUUUGUGGUAACCACUGUAACGCGGGGUGAAUUUCAGCAAAUUCCCAACUGAAGAUGGUCAUAAAUUGCUGUAAUGAUUGGGUAUACAAACGCACGCACAAUCGAAAACCUCAAAUAUAUUUUAUGCACUGCCCUGAAAAGACUAUAAAAAUCCUCGCGAUUGUAGUUCGAUUUAAAUAAAUAUGAACAAUUGUAAACCUCACACUAUGUUUCCCCUCAUGUGGCCUUGCUUACUGAUGCUUUGUCGAUGCUUGACGAAGCUUUGCCAAAUAUAAAGAGAAACUACUUGCAUCAACGCGAUAUCCCUCCUGUAUCGAUCAACUGAGUACAAACAAUCCGCUACAUAUGUGAAUAAUUCAUGUCUUUGCGGUGGUAUGUCCGAGCAUAUAGAAUAUCGUUGUUUCGCGUUGUAACAGAAUUUACAAAUCAAUUCCAAUCUAUGAUAUUAUAAAGAAUAUAAAUGUAUCACUAUGAAGAGAGACACAUGUUUGUUCCAUCCAAUUAUGGAUGUAAUAAAUUCUUGAAUUUAUAUAUAAAAUAUGGACGAGACGGGACUGAAUCGAUUGAAGAAAUAAAAUACUUUGGAUUUCGGCAAAAAAAUUAAUCGACAUCGAAGACGGCAUACGCGAUAUUUUGUGCGCGCGGAUAAUAGUUUUUCCACAAUCGCGAUCGGCGCAACGCUUAACAAAUGAUUCAUUCGUAGCCUCGAAGACGCGCCGAGAAUGAUAGCGGGAUGAUAUAAGUCGAUCGUGUUUACGAAAGUGUCUCGGGAGCGCGAGAAGGAAUCUCUCUCUCGGAAAGCCGCGAAAGAGGAAAACGCUUUUCCACGCGCGCAAUUUAAUCCGGCGUGCGGCGAGGAGACGGGGCCAGUGAGAUUGAACGGAUCAAUGCGGAAGAGAGGCGUUUCCAAAGUGGGACGGCGACGAUAUAGCGUAUAGAGCGGCGACGCAAAAUCCACCAAGCCGCAUUCUGUGGUGUGUCGUGGCGCGAUCAUUCUGUAAUAAACGAUCAGCGUCGUAGAGUCGCGUGACAAUACGCGCCGACGGCGAACACGCAUAAGAGAGACCUUCGCUGCAUUUUCCUUUCAUUUUUUUUUUUUUUCAUUUUUUCUCUCGAUGAAAUAUCGGCGAUACGGACUGGAGGACCAUAGAGGAAAAAUUUUUGAUUAGGACGAGCAUGAGAUUCGACGAAAACUCACAUUAAUAUGUUCAUUGCGAUGCUGUAUACGCUUCGCAUCAUUAUUCUCUAGUCGAAGAACGGAAAUUUUUAAAAAUUUGCAAACUGAUAAUUCUAUAUAGAAAUAUUAUUCUGAUUAUAGAUAAUAGUUCUCUAUAAAUAGCUCUAUACAAAGGACUGCACACAAAAUAUAUAAAUGUAUAAUUAUCGUAUUAAUCUUUAAACCGAAACACACACAAUACGUACUUAAUUAAGCAAUUAGCAAUAAUGUUGCCUCUGAGGUUUUCCUGGUGCAUUUCAUUUUUAAUAUUAAAAAAAUAAACAAGUGUGAUCAAGAUAUAAAAAUAAUUUCAUUAUUUAAUUAAUUAAUAACUUACACAAUAAUAAAAAAUUAUGUACCUAUUGUAUAAUCGGACUUUUAAUGAGAUUAAUGUGUUUCGAUUUAAAAAUUAUAUAACUCGAUUUUUCUAUAAAUGUAUUUCGAGUUUGUAUCAUCCUCAGUGACUGAAUUUAAAAAACGUUUAAGGCCUCUACGAGCCGCGACGACCGGAUAUAUGGAGAUACAAUAAUAAAGCGACAAAGAGACGAAGUAUAAUAUAAUAAAGGCACCGCGGGCGCGGUGCGCGUGCCGGAUGCAAUUUACGAUAGGCGAACUUCAACGAAAACGUUUCGAUAACUGGCGAAUAUAUCCGCAUAGAAGACGCGCGCGUUGUGUAUAUAUGCGUGUGUGCGUGUGUGCGGCGAUUGCGUAAUGAUCGAUAUACCGCUGGACCGAGGAAUAAACUAUGUAUAUAAAUAGAUAGGAUGACACUUGCUCGACAUUUGUGUGAUACAAAGAACACUGAAUUAAAAGUAAUAAUUGCGGAAGUAAUAUACAACGGGCCAGGGAAAAUCUGCAGGUACACACGUGUGUUGUCCCUGUGUGCCUACCUUCGUGUUUCUAUUCUGACGUACACACAUAUAUCCUCUGAGCGUUAUAAAACGAUUAAGCACCGAGUUACACCAACAGAUAGCUGUUCGGGCCACGUGACACGGCCAAUCGAGCAUUUCUGUCGAUUCGUCAUCCCUUUCCUGAAUUAAAUUCUAGCUAUGAUAUAGACAGAGAAAAGGGAAAGGGAAAGGGAAGACAGAGAAGCAGAUCCAACGGUUUCAACAAUCUCAGCUAAAUCUAACCGCAGCUUAAGUUAUCGUGUAAAUUCUUGUCACACAUUCGACGCUAAAUGCGCCUCAUAAUUCUCUCAUUUCGUACAAACAUUGAACGUCAUCCUCAUAUUAGAUAACAGAAACUAAAAUCAUCGCAGUAUUUAAUAUUAAAUGCGUGGCGAGAAUAUAAAUCUUUGUUCCUAAAAAAAAUACAUAGAAUCAGUUAAACAUCAGUUAAUUAGAUUUAAGAUUGA
Formica exsecta is the source of this 4663-nucleotide long non-coding RNA. RefSeq lists it as uncharacterized. Lineage: Eukaryota; Metazoa; Arthropoda; Insecta; Hymenoptera; Formicidae. The transcript is spliced from 2 exons. The record is from RefSeq and is a predicted model, not a curated record.